GCGCCUCGCCGGUUGCGGGUGUCGACGCCCGGCCGGCCCGGCGGGGUGGGACUGGGGCGGGAGGGGGCAGGGGAGCUUGGCUCCCGGCCCGCCUCCGGUCGCCUAGCAACCGCCGGCGGACCCGGUGCUGCCCGAGGCCCCGGCAGCUCGGCCCUGCGGCUGUGGGUCCUCCCGGCGAGAUACAAUGCGGGAAGCGCCGAGGCCUGCGUUAACCGUUCCUGUGCCGGCAGCUCCGUCGCGGAACCGGAGGGAAGUUUCACUGUGUUCAUCGCUUACUUUUCCUCGCGGCUUCCCUCGUCCAGCAGGACGUUUCCUUGGGUGAGGAAAGAGAAGGGACAGGCACUUGGGACAACCCAGACGGCCCUGGCAGAAAGGUCUGGAUAAGUAAGCGUUAACGAGGGGAGAGAAGGCCCCGGAAGAAACUGUGGCCUGGGCAACAAGUCUUGAUGGAUCUCGGCAAUCAGAAGGAGGAAGGUGUGUUUCCUGAAAAGGUCUUAGAAAGCAAAAGGAAGGGACAGUAAGGAUCAUGGCCCAUACUUUUCAACCGCCCCUCUCUGUCCACCUGCAGCAGACUCUCCUUCAUGUACUAAUUCCACAAAUGUGGAGCCCCUGUCCUUGUGCUGCUCACCGCCCACUGAAGAAACACAGUGACUACCUCACAACCCAACCCAAGCCACGGAGGGAGGCCCUGGAAGGCCCCCAAGCUCACUCCUCAGACUCAAAGCCUUUACCGGGAGUUAGGGUCCAAGAUGUUUGGAAACCACUGACAAGAGGUUGAUGCUUGCAAGGCAUUAUUGUGAAAACUGAGAUGGAUCAACAGCCAGGAUGAGUUUGCUUCACACUCACAGGCAAGGGUGAGCUUUGCCUUGUUCUAGAACAGUCACCUUCCGGAACCAUCUUACCUUUUCAUGGAAUCUGCAGUCCCUUGCGUAUAUGGAUGGCCAACGCUUCAUUUAAAGUGGAGUUCCUAGUUUUGUGACUUUUGUUCAUUUUGCCGCAAUCACUUACUAAAAACAUACACUGGGAUCCAGCAUUGUUGCACCCAAUCUUAGGCAAUAAAUCUAAUGAUAGAUAGUAUACAAAUAUAAUAAAUAAUGUGGGACUAAACACACUGUCCAAAAGACUUUAAAUUUUAUUUAUUUCCUCCUCUAAAAGAAAGAUUUUUCAACUUUAAAAUCUCUGGAGCUCACUUGGCUUAAUUCCUCAGAACUAUCCCAAAUGGUUUUGAAAGAGUCAUUAUUUCUCUCAUGCACUGAACAUACAAUGCUCUUACUUAGGAAGAGGAAGAAAAAAAUGUUUACAGUCCCACUUUGUACAUUAAGAAAUGUGUAUAACAUUAGCUCUUGAUUCAGAAAUUAUAAAUAAAGCUGUUUUAUCAUCCAGUG
Molecule: long non-coding RNA, 1385 nt
Organism: Neomonachus schauinslandi (Hawaiian monk seal)
Lineage: Eukaryota; Metazoa; Chordata; Mammalia; Carnivora; Phocidae
Exons: 3
Source: RefSeq, a predicted model, not a curated record